RNAcentral lists this unclassified non-coding RNA (267 nucleotides) under Hevea brasiliensis (rubber tree). The record is from RNAcentral. Lineage: Eukaryota; Viridiplantae; Streptophyta; Magnoliopsida; Malpighiales; Euphorbiaceae.
AAUGCUGGGCUUCGCGCGCUUCUUGGCCUGGAUGAGAAGGUUCUUGAGCGCGGCGAACGCCUCCUCGAGGAUCUUCGUGGCCUCGAGGACCUUGCCCCCGAUCUUCUCCGCUGCGGCGGAGACCCGACCGAGGGAUCGCUCCUCCAGCUCACUGAACGCCGAGAUCGCCGGAUCUGCGGCGGAGGGGGAGGAAGGAUCGCCGGACGGAGAGACGGCGAGCGCCUCGAGCCGCGCGACCGCCGAUUCGAGGCGGGUGAUGAGUUGUUG